RNAcentral lists this ribosomal RNA (429 nucleotides) under bacterium. RNAcentral's name for it is "partial 16S ribosomal RNA". It matches the Rfam family "Bacterial small subunit ribosomal RNA", at positions 355 to 776 of the family's 1533-position model. The record is from RNAcentral.
UAGGGAAUCUUCGGCAAUGGGGGCAACCCUGACCGAGCAACGCCGCGUGAGUCAUGAAGGUUUUCGGAUCGUAAAGCUCUGUUGUAAGAGAAGAACGUGUGUGAGAGUGGAAAGUUCACACAGUGACGGUAACUUACCCGAAAGGGACGGCUAACUACGUGCCAGCAGCCGCGGUAAUACGUAGGUCCCGAGCGUUGUCCGGAUUUAUUGGUCGUAAAGCGAGCCCAGGCGGUUUAAUAAGUCUGAAGUUAAAGGCAGUGGCUUACCCAUUGUUCGCUUUGGAAACUGUUAAACUUGAGUGCAGAAGGGGAGAGUGGAAUUCCAUGUGUAGCGGUGAAAUGCGUAGAUAUAUGGAGGAACACCGGUGGCGAAAGCGGCUCUCUGGUCUGUAACUGACGCUGAGGCUCGAAAGCGUGGGGAGCAAACAGG